GAUAAACGCUGGCGGCGCACAUAAGACAUGCAAGUUGAACGGACUUAAUCGAAAUAUUUAUAUUUUGAAGCGGUUAGUGGCGGACUGGUGAGUAACGCGUAAGGAACCUGCCUAUUAGAGGGGAAUAACAGUGAGAAAUCAUUGCUAAUACCGCAUAUGCCAUAGAUAUCACAUGAUAACAGUGGGAAAGGAGCAAUCCGCUAAUAGAUGGCCUGGCGUCUGAUUAGAUAGUUGGUGGGGUAACGGCCUACCAAGUCGACGAUCAGUAGCCGGACUGAGAGGUUGAACGGCCAAAUUGGGACGGAGAUACGGCCCAGACUCCUUCGGGAGGCAGCAGUCGGGAAUAUUGCGCAAGGGAGGAAACUCAGACGCAGUGACGCCGCGUAUAGGAAGAAGGUUUUCGGAUUGUAAACUAUUGUCGUUAGGGAAGAGAAAUGACAGUACCUAAGGAGGAAGCUCCGGCUAACUACGUG
RNAcentral lists this ribosomal RNA (473 nucleotides) under uncultured bacterium. RNAcentral's name for it is "partial 16S ribosomal RNA". It matches the Rfam family "Bacterial small subunit ribosomal RNA", at positions 28 to 507 of the family's 1533-position model. The record is from RNAcentral.